Molecule: ribosomal RNA, 465 nt
Filed under: uncultured bacterium
Lineage: Bacteria
Description: bacterial SSU rRNA
Rfam family: Bacterial small subunit ribosomal RNA
Source: RNAcentral
UUCCAGACUCCUACGGGAGGCAGCAGUGAGGAAUAUUGGUCAAUGGGCGAGAGCCUGAACCAGCCAAGUCGCGUGAGGGAAGACGGUCCUAUGGAUUGUAAACCUCUUUUGCCGGGGAGCAAAAAGCGGUACGUGUACCGCAUCGAGAGUACCCGGAGAAAAAGCAUCGGCUAACUCCGUGCCAGCAGCCGCGGUAAUACGGAGGAUGCGAGCGUUAUCCGGAUUUAUUGGGUUUAAAGGGUGCGUAGGCGGACGCUUAAGUCAGCGGUAAAAUGGCGGGGCUCAACCUCGUCGAGCCGUUGAAACUGGGUGCCUUGAGUGGGCGAGAAGUACGCGGAAUGCGUGGUGUAGCGGUGAAAUGCAUAGAUAUCACGCAGAACUCCGAUUGCGAAGGCAGCGUACCGGCGCCCAACUGACGCUGAAGCACGAAGGCGUGGGUAUCGAACAGGAUUAGAUACCCUAGUA